CAGAGUAGAUAGCAUAGCGUUAAGUGUUGCGUGAACGGGGAGUUGUCACGCAGACGAAGAGUUCUUCUCGCGGUUUUGCUGUCGCAUCCCGCUG
This 94-nucleotide non-coding RNA is filed under the name human gut metagenome. Its description in RNAcentral is "THF riboswitch". It matches the Rfam family "THF (Tetrahydrofolate) riboswitch aptamer". Rfam says of the family: THF riboswitch presents a pseudoknot that joins P1-P2 and the loop of P3 and two THF binding. RNAcentral also lists the same sequence under 1 other name. The record is from RNAcentral.